RNAcentral lists this transfer RNA (68 nucleotides) under Marmota monax (woodchuck). RNAcentral's name for it is "tRNA.Ala". The stretch from base 5 to 65 matches the Rfam family "tRNA", at positions 6 to 65 of the family's 71-position model. From Rfam's summary of the family: Transfer RNA (tRNA) molecules are approximately 80 nucleotides in length. Their secondary structure includes four short double-helical elements and three loops (D, anti-codon, and T loops). Further hydrogen bonds mediate the characteristic L-shaped molecular structure. tRNAs have two regions of fundamental functional importance: the anti-codon, which is responsible for specific mRNA codon recognition, and the 3' end, to which the tRNAs corresponding amino acid is attached (by aminoacyl-tRNA synthetases). tRNAs cope with the degeneracy of the genetic code in two manners: having more than one tRNA (with a specific anti-codon) for a particular amino acid; and 'wobble' base-pairing, i.e. permitting non-standard base-pairing at the 3rd anti-codon position. Lineage: Eukaryota; Metazoa; Chordata; Mammalia; Rodentia; Sciuridae. The record is from RNAcentral.
GGACUGUGGCUCAAUGACAGAGCACUUGCCUUGCAAGUAUGAGGCACUGGGUUCAAUCCUCAGCACCA